RNAcentral lists this ribosomal RNA (253 nucleotides) under uncultured bacterium. Its description in RNAcentral is "partial 16S ribosomal RNA". It matches the Rfam family "Bacterial small subunit ribosomal RNA", at positions 524 to 776 of the family's 1533-position model. The record is from RNAcentral.
UACGGAGGGGGCAAGCGUUAUUCGGAAUUAUUGGGCGUAAAGGGCGCGUAGGCGGCUAGAUGUGUCAGAGGUGAAAUCCCGCGGCUCAACUGAGGAACUGCCUUUGAAACUGUCUGGCUUGAGGCCGGGAGAGGGUAGCGGAAUUCCCAGUGUAGCGGUGAAAUGCGUAGAUAUUGGGAGGAACACCAGUGGCGAAGGCGGGUCUCUGGGCCGAUACUGACGCUGAGGAGCGAAAGCGUGGGGAGCGAACAGG